Small nuclear RNA from Sabethes cyaneus, 102 nucleotides. The record is from RefSeq and is a predicted model, not a curated record. Lineage: Eukaryota; Metazoa; Arthropoda; Insecta; Diptera; Culicidae.
GUCCUAGCUUUGGCUGGACUUAAACUAAAAUUGGAACGAUACAAAGAAGAUUAACAUGGCCCCUGCGCAAGGAUGAACACCAUUAUUAUUUAUUAUAAUGAU